AAUGGACGCAAGUCUGAUGGAGCAACGCCGCGUGAGUGAAGAAGGGUUUCGGCUCGUAAAGCUCUGUUGGUAGUGAAGAAAGAUAGAGGUAGUAACUGGCCUUUAUGUUGACGGUAAUUACUUAGAAAGUCACGGCUAACUACGUGCCAGCAGCCGCGGUAAUACGUAGGUGGCAAGCGUUGUCCGGAUUUAUUGGGCGUAAAGCGAGUGCAGGCGGUUCAAUAAGUCUGAUGUGAAAGCCUUCGGCUCAACCGGAGAAUUGCAUCAGAAACUGUUGAACUUGAGUGCAGAAGAGGAGAGUGGAACUCCAUGUGUAGCGGUGGAAUGCGUAGAUAUAUGGAAGAACACCAGUGGCGAAGGCGGCUCUCUGGUCUGCAACUGACGCUGAGGCUCGAAAGCAUGGGUAGCGAACAGGAUAAGAUACCCUGGUAGUCCAUGCCGUAAACGAUGAGUGCUAAGUGUUGGGAGGUUUCCGCCUCUCAGUGCUGCAGCUAACGCAUUAAGCACUCCGCCUGGGGAGUACGACCGCAAGGUUGAAACUCAAAGGAAUUGACGGGGGCCCGCACAAGCGGUGGAGCAUGUGGUUUAAUUCGAAGCAACGCGAAGAACCUUACCAGGUCUUGACAUCCAGUGCAAACCUAAGAGAUUAGGUGUUCCCUUCGGGGGACGCUGAGACAGGUGGUGCAUGG
Molecule: ribosomal RNA, 689 nt
Filed under: Lactobacillus gasseri
Lineage: Bacteria; Bacillati; Bacillota; Bacilli; Lactobacillales; Lactobacillaceae
Description: bacterial SSU rRNA
Rfam family: Bacterial small subunit ribosomal RNA
Source: RNAcentral